AUGGGGGCAGCAAUGGGGUCAUGUGGCCCCUUCGCAGAGUCAGGAGCCUCCACAGUGGGCUUGAAGGACACUCAGGAUUUGGACGAAUGUCUUUCCUCUGUUGCCCCACUCCUCCGCUUUGCUUCCAAGCUUGCAAACACCAGCAUCCAAAACAGAGGCGAGGCCAAACUCUAUCAGUUGAGCCACGACCACCUGUUCCUUGCCCUGGGCAAGGAUGAGGCCACUGUUCUGUUGCAAGUGAAGCCAGAGCUGAGAGGGUUUGCAUCAUCCUUAGCCAGCCCAUUGAGUUCCCACGGAUCUCCAGACCUUGCCCUCAGCCUUCUGGAGCUGCUCCCUGCUACACCCUCUCACCACACCCCCGACCCACUCACUGCCUUUUAUAACACAGCUGUCCUGAGCCCCACAGGGCGAGAGUCGGUGGCCAAGAUGAGCUUCCGGGCAGCCGUAGCACUGAUGAAAGGCCGCUCGAUUAGGGACGGCACCUUGUGCCGGGCUCAGCAUUGAAACUUCACUCCAACCAGCUUUCUGGCAGAGGACACGACUGAUUUCCCUGAUGAGCUGGAUAUAUCCUUCUUUGCCCCGGAAGGUAUCCUCCAUGAAGAGCUGUCCACAUACCUGGACAAAGUUUUCAAGUCCCCAUCGGAGGCAGCACUCAAGGACUGGGAGAAGGCACCGGAGCAGGAGGACCUCACAAGCCCUGGACUGCAGUGAGCUUGAGCACAGCCACCUGAUGCUGCUUCUGGAGCGAGGCUAGCGGAAGCAGGAGGGCGCUACAGCCUCCCAGCCCAAGGUGCGGCUCCAACAGGAGGUGGUGAGCACCGCGGGGCCGCCGCGGGGCCAGCGCAUCACUGUGCCAGUGUGCAAGUUCUUCGCCCGGGAGAAGCAGCUGUAUGGGCUGAGCUCACCAACCGCACCUACCACAAGCACAUCGACAGUUUCAUCAAGCGACAGAUUGAGGACAUGGACAACCACAGGCCCUUCUUCACCUACUGGCUCACCUUCAUGCACUCACUUAUCACCAUUCUAGCCGGGUGCAUCUAUGGCAUCAUGCCUGUGGGCUUCUCACAACAUGAAAUGGUGGACUCAGUGCUGUGGAACCAUGGGGUCUACGAGAACGUCAAGUGCGUGCAGCAGGAGAAUUUCUGGAUCGGGCCCAGCUCGGAGGCCCUCAUCCACCUGGGCGCCAAGUUUUCGCCCUGCGUGUGCCAGGAUCCACAGGUGCACAGCUUCAUUCACUCAGGGUGCGGGCCUGAGUGUGAGAAGCACCCGGCCUGCUGCGUGCACAGUGACAGGUCGGGCUGCCUGCAGACCUCGGAGGAGGAGUGCUCGUCCACGCUGGCAGUGUGGGUGACGUGGCCUAUCCAUCCCAGCGCCCCAGAGCUUGCCAGCCACAAGAGACAGUUUGGCUCUGUCUGCCACCAGGAUCCCAGGGUAUGUGAUGAGCCCUCCUGGGAAGACCCCCAUGAAUGGCCAGAAGACAUCACCAAGUGGCCGAUCUGCACCAAAAACAGUGCCAGGAACCACACCAACCUUCCUCACAUGGACGGUGUCAUCACAGGGCGGUCCUGCUGCAUUGGCACCAAGGGCAAGUGUGAGAUCACCUCUCGGGAGUACUGCGACUUCGUGAUGGGCUAUUUCCAUGAGGAGGCCACGCUCUGCUCUCAGGUGCACUGCAUGGAUGAUGUGUGUGGGCUCCUGCCUUUCCUCAACCCUGAGGUGCCUGACCAGUUCUACCGCCUGUGGCUGUCCCUCUUCCUGCACACCAGGAUCCUGCACUGCCUGGUGUCCAUCUGCUUCCAAAUGACAGUCCUGCAGGACCUGGAGAAGCCGGCAGGGUGACACCACAUAGCCAUCAUCUAGCUGCUGAGUGGUGUCACUGGCAACCUGGCCAGUGCCAUCUUCCUGCUGUACCGAGAAGUGGUGAUUGCGGCUGGCUCCCAGUUUGGCAUCCUGGCCUGACUCUUCGUGGAGCUCUUCCAGAGCUGGCAGAUCCUGGAGUGGCCCUGGCAUGCCUUCUUCAAGCUGCUGGCUGUGGUGCUCUUCCUCUUCACCUUUGGGCUGCUGCCCUGGAUCGACAACUUUGCCCACACCUCGGGGUUCAUCAGUGGCCUCUUCCUCUCCUUCGCCUUCUAGCCCUACAUCAGCUUCGGCAAGUUCAAUCUGUACCAGAAAUGCUGCCAGAUCAUCAUCUUUCAGGUGGUCUUCCUGGGCCUCCUGGCUGGCCUGGUGGUCCUCUUCUACUUCUAUCCUGUUCGCUGUGAGUGGUGUGUUCCUCACCUGCAUCCCCUUCACUGACAGGUUCUUCGAGAAGUACGAACUGGACGCUCAGCUCCAGCGAGCUGGCUGUGGGCUCCAGGGACCAUGUGCUCCAGCAGGCGAGAGCCAGACACAACAACCCUGAGCCUCACAGGCUUACAGGAGUCACCUGCUCCAUGUGGGGACUGGCCUGUUUCCUAAAGACAGACCUCUUGUGCCUUGUUCACGUCCUCGUACUGCCGGGCAUUUAUUAUACUACUUCCUGUGAUAAUCUUCUAACUUGUCUCUUGACGACCACCUCAUGCGGCCAAUAAAUGGACUGGGAGCGUUUUAGAAAAAAAAAAGUUCCACUGCGUGAAUAUGCCACCAUUGUUAUUGAUCUCUUCUACUGUGGUUGGACUUGCAGUUUGUUUCAAUUUUUGACUUUUAUGGAAAAUGCUGCUGUGAAUACUCUGGUGCCUAAACAUGUCUGUGGUACCUAAAUGCAUACAUUUCUGUUGAGUAUAUACCAUCAAGUGGAAUCACCAGCUCAUAGGAUAUGCAUAUAUUUAACAGCUUUAUUGAGAUAUAUUUUAGAAUGUACAUAUCUUGAAAUUUUAAUGGAUACUGUCAAACACCUUUCCACAGUAGCUGUACCACUUUA
This is a non-coding RNA of Macaca mulatta (Rhesus monkey), 2899 nucleotides long. NCBI's taxonomy places the organism in Eukaryota, Metazoa, Chordata, Mammalia, Primates, Cercopithecidae. The record is from RefSeq and is a predicted model, not a curated record.